This 464-nucleotide ribosomal RNA is filed under the name uncultured bacterium. RNAcentral's name for it is "bacterial SSU rRNA". It matches the Rfam family "Bacterial small subunit ribosomal RNA", at positions 330 to 792 of the family's 1533-position model. The record is from RNAcentral.
UCCAGACUCCUACGGGAGGCAGCAGUGAGGAAUAUUGGUCAAUGGGCGGGAGCCUGAACCAGCCAUGCCGCGUGAAGGCGAGUGCCCUACGGGCGUUAAACUUCUUUUGUGCGGGAGCAAUAAGGGCCACGUGUGGCCCGAUGAGAGUACCGCACGAAUAAGCAUCGGCUAACUCCGUGCCAGCAGCCGCGGUAAUACGUAGGGGGCAAGCGUUAUCCGGAUUUACUGGGUGUAAAGGGAGCGUAGACGGCCAGACAAGUCUGAAGUGAAAAUCCAGCGCUUAACGUUGGAAGUGCUUUGGAAACUGCCGGGCUAGAGUGCAGGAGGGGCAGGCGGAAUUCCUAGUGUAGCGGUGAAAUGCGUAGAUAUUAGGAGGAACACCAGUGGCGAAGGCGGCCUGCUGGACUGCAACUGACGUUGAGGCUCGAAGGCGUGGGGAGCAAACAGGAUUAGAUACCCGAGUA